Styela clava is the source of this 1978-nucleotide long non-coding RNA. RefSeq lists it as uncharacterized. NCBI's taxonomy places the organism in Eukaryota, Metazoa, Chordata, Ascidiacea, Stolidobranchia, Styelidae. The record is from RefSeq and is a predicted model, not a curated record.
UGCUGCAGAAACAGUACAGCUAAGUAUAAUAUUAAUUUACGUACGAGGCCUCAGGUAUCAGGUAAAAAAUAUGGAUUUAUUAAACGUGGUGACUCAACUUCACCACAGGUAUUGCUGUGCGAUCUUUGUAUUUAACAUCACAAUUUAAUUCUACACGUAACUCCUGGUUUUGUUCUUAGCCAAGUGUUGUUUGGUCUAUCUUGUCAUUACCGGCCACGAUCGUAACAUUUCUCAUGAAGUUUUGUCAGUCUUGCCAACUCCAAUUAGGGAUAUGUGGCGCGUAAUAGAGUUCAUUCACACAGCAUGCAGAUUUCUAGAUCGUACUCAUGAUAUUCAUAGCUUCAACUCUCUCGUGGAAACCUAUGACAUAGGGUACAUUAAAGAGGCUUUCAAUACAUUUUCAGUUGCUGACGUCAUUUGUCUUUUAGGUUGCUGGCAAUUUUUGGAAGAUUGCGAUUACAUUCCAUUUCUGCAUUAUUUAACAGAUAUAACGAAUCUGAACUUAUUGGGAGCUGAUCCCGACACAUUCCGUGGAGCACGACCCGACUGGCCGCCUUUACCAACAAUGUAUUUGGAAAGCUACGUGUGUGCUGCUGGAAUAGCGGUUACGAAUCAACAUGGACUUAGCAUCUUAUGGUGCAAAAACAAACAUGAUUCUCUCAAACGUCCAACACUUCACCCACCCACGAAUCCCGUUCUUCGACCAAAUGCUGAACAAGGAUGGGAUAUUUUAGCUUCAUGCACUCUUAGGAAACGCUUGGGCAAAAUAAAGGAAUGGAAUUCAUCGGGGCACGUUAUAGACGUACGUGGCGGACACUUUGGGAUGUCAUGUUCACUAAAUCCUAAUCCUACGAAAAUAACCAUUUCGCCUGACCAGCAUAUGGUAAAUACUUUAAAAGUAGGUCAACGAAACGAUAUCAGAAAAAGACUUUCCAAAUUCUAAAUAGACGUCGAGAUGUGAAAUCUUACCUGCUUACAUAUGAUGUACAUCGUCGAGAAAAGUCUGGUGUUUAUGACGAAGAUAUAAUUCAGAAACAUUUGUCUCCGGGAACCUACGUCUCUGAAAUUGGUGCUUAUUAUAUGUGGAGGGCAAAUCACGCGAGGCAAGUACAAACUUCCGAUCUAUUUGACAAUCAUUUAAUUCAGCUACAUAAAAUGUUUAUAGUUAUUGUUCAUUCAGCCGACUAUUUCGGCUGUAAACCUUUCCUUUGCCAACUUGUAAUUAAUUUCAGUAAAGGAAUAAACUUAUCAAUGCAUAAUAGUAGUAGGGAAACAUGAUCACUAUCACGAUUAAUAUUAUUCGUAAUUAUUCACUGCAGGCAAAUAUUUAAUUUAGCAUUGAUGCAAGCAGUUGAAAACAAUAACCAAUAUACUGCGUCGAUUUUAUCCUCCGUUGCCUCUAUUGAAAAAUUUCAAAACCGUUCUGUACCUAGUAUGUCAAAAGUUGUUUUUCAAAGCACUUUCAAUACAAUGGGUCUUUCACACCAACAAGCUGGAAAUUCUGAGGCACAGAUUCUAUCGUACAUUUUGUCACUAAUUGUUAACAAAUGCGUGACCUGCGUCACAGACGAUUUUGGUCAUUCACCUUCUGUACAAUUAGAAGAUGAUGAAAUUUUGCUAGUUGUCAAGCCUCCUGUUUCGCGAAAUCGGCAUGAUACACCUCCCCUCCAUUUCAUUGGAAGGCACCUUGUAAUGUUAUUGUCUUCCAGGCACGGUCACGCUUUCAGGUGGAAUCACACAAUGCAUUGGUGGCUUGUCGAAAACAAACUGGUACGGAAGUAUGAUAUUAUUCCACAGCUUUUUUCGUGGCAACUGGCUAUAUACGGUUCAACUUCAAAUGUUAUUGACGAGGAACGUCUUUCGAGAUCAUUAUAGGCCGCGAGUCAAGGCCAUUUAUCUUUCAGUUUCGUAGCGCACAUAAGCAGACUUAUAGGCCACAGCAUAUUUGGAAAUAGAAAUUAAUGGCUGUUUCUGUAAU